This is a non-coding RNA of Nematostella vectensis (starlet sea anemone), 72 nucleotides long. Lineage: Eukaryota; Metazoa; Cnidaria; Anthozoa; Actiniaria; Edwardsiidae. The record is from Rfam.
GGCUCAGUGGUCUAGUGGUAUGAUUCUCGCUUUGGGUGCGAGAGGACACGGGUUCGAUUCCCGUCUGAGCCC